Molecule: unclassified non-coding RNA, 542 nt
Filed under: Hevea brasiliensis (rubber tree)
Lineage: Eukaryota; Viridiplantae; Streptophyta; Magnoliopsida; Malpighiales; Euphorbiaceae
Source: RNAcentral
CAACCGUAGCUCGCCGGCGCGCAAAACCCUAAGCUCCAGUAGCCAUGGAUUCUGAUCUGGGCAAGCUCUUCAUCGGCGGGAUCUCGUGGGAGACGACGGAGGAGAAGCUCAUGGAGUACUUUGGCCAGUACGGCGCUGUCCUGCAGGCCGUCGUCAUGCGGGACAAGGUCACCAAUCGCCCCCGCGGCUUCGGAUUCGUCGCCUUCGCCGAUCCCUCCGUCCUCGAUACCGUCCUCGCCGCCCAACACACCAUUGACGGCCGCACGGUGGAAGCCAAAAGGGCUCUUUCACGAGAGGAGCAACAAUCCUCCGGCAGAUCUGGAAACCCUGGUGCUGGAAGAGCCUUUGGAGGCGGUGGCAGCGCUGGUGCCGGUGGCAAUAUUAGAACAAAGAAGAUAUUCGUCGGAGGGUUGCCUCCGACUCUAACUGACGAGGGACUCCGUCAGUACUUUCAGCCUUAUGGUGAUGUGACAGACGUGAUUGUGAUGUAUGAUUCGAACACCCAAAGACCUCGUGGUUUUGGAUUUGUCACUUUUUUCUCG